AGCUAGUUGGUGAGGUAACGGCCCACCAAGGCAACGAUCGGUAGCCGGACUGAGAGGUUGAACGGCCACAUUGGGACUGAGACACGGCCCAGACUCCUACGGGAGGCAGCAGUGGGGAAUAUUGCACAAUGGGGGAAACCCUGAUGCAGCGACGCCGCGUGGAGGAAGAAGGUCUUCGGAUUGUAAACUCCUGUUGUUGGGGAAGAUAAUGACGGUACCCAACAAGGAAGUGACGGCUAACUACGUGCCAGCAGCCGCGGUAAAACGUAGGUCACAAGCGUUGUCCGGAAUUACUGGGUGUAAAGGGAGCGCAGGCGGGAAGACAAGUUGGAAGUGAAAUCUAUGGGCUCAACCCAUAAACUGCUUUCAAAACUGUUUUUCUUGAGUAGUGCAGAGGUAGGCGGAAUUCCCGGUGUAGCGGUGGAAUGCGUAGAUAUCGGGAGGAACACCAGUGGCGAAGGCGGCCUACUGGGCACCAACUGACGCUGAGGCUCGAAAGUGUGGGUAGCAAACAGGAUUAGAUACCCUGGUAGUCCACACCGUAAACGAUGAUUACUAGGUGUUGGAGGAUUGACCCCUUCAGUGCCGCAGUUAACACAAUAAGUAAUCCACCUGGGGAGUACGACCGCAAGGUUGAAACUCAAAGGAAUUGACGGGGGCCCGCACAAGCAGUGGAGUAUGUGGUUUAAUUCGACGCAACGCGAAGAACCUUACCAAGUCUUGACAUCCCUUGACAGGCAUAGAAAUAUGUUUUCUCUUCGGAGCAAGGAGACAGGUGGUGCAUGGUUGUCGUCAGCUCGUGUCGUGUGAUGUUGGGUUAAGUCCCGCAACGAGCGCAACCCUUAUGGUCAGUUACUACGCAAGAGGACUCUGGCCAGACUGCCGUUGACAAAACGGAGGAAGGUGGGGAUGACGUCAAAUCAUCAUGCCCUUUAUGACUUGGGCUACACACGUACUACAAUGGCGUUAAACAAAGAGAAGCAAGACCGCGAGGUGGAGCAAAACUCAGAAACAACGUCCCAGUUCGGACUGCAGGCUGCAACUCGCCUGCACGAAGUCGGAAUUGCUAGUAAUCGUGGAUCAGCAUGCCACGGUGAAUACGUUCCCGGGCCUUGUACACACCGCCCGUCACACCAUGAGAGCCGGGGGGACCCGAAGUCGGUAGUCUAACCGCAAGGAGGACGCCGCCGAAGGUAAAACUGGUGAUUGGGGUGAAGUCGUAACAAGGUAGCCGUAGGAGAACCUGCGGCUG
This 1252-nucleotide ribosomal RNA is filed under the name metagenome. Its description in RNAcentral is "bacterial SSU rRNA". It matches the Rfam family "Bacterial small subunit ribosomal RNA", at positions 243 to 1520 of the family's 1533-position model. The record is from RNAcentral.